CCGGAGGGUCCGUCGCUCGUCUCCUCGUAAGGGGCGAGAGGAAAGUCCGGGCAACAUAGAGCACCAUAUUUGCUAACGGCAAGCUAUCGGUAACGGUAGAUUAGUGUGACAGAAAACAACCGCCCCCUUCCCGGGGGUAAGGGUGAAAAGGCGAGGUAAGAGCUCACCGGGCGACAUGGCGACAUGCCGCGCCGCACACAUUAUGGGUUGCAAGGUCAAGUAUACCGGCAUCUAAGGGCUGCUCGUCCAUUGCCGGGGGGUAGACUGCUUACGGCAGCAAUGCCAGAUAAAUGACGGACGGGGCGUCGUAGCUCCCCCUCCACGGGGGAAAGCGCACACCCCACAUAACCCGGCUUAUACUCCGACC
This 367-nucleotide RNase P RNA is filed under the name human gut metagenome. Its description in RNAcentral is "Bacterial RNase P class A". It matches the Rfam family "Bacterial RNase P class A". Rfam says of the family: Ribonuclease P (RNase P) is a ubiquitous endoribonuclease, found in archaea, bacteria and eukarya as well as chloroplasts and mitochondria. Its best characterised activity is the generation of mature 5'-ends of tRNAs by cleaving the 5'-leader elements of precursor-tRNAs. The record is from RNAcentral.